Molecule: ribosomal RNA, 1250 nt
Filed under: Candidatus Phytoplasma trifolii
Lineage: Bacteria; Bacillati; Mycoplasmatota; Mollicutes; Acholeplasmatales; Acholeplasmataceae
Description: bacterial SSU rRNA
Rfam family: Bacterial small subunit ribosomal RNA
Source: RNAcentral
GAAACGACUGCUAAGACUGGAUAGGAAACAAAAAGGCAUCUUUUUGUUUUUAAAAGACCUUCUUAUGAAGGUAUGCUUAAAGAGGGGCUUGCGCCACAUUAGUUAGUUGGUAGGGUAAAAGCCUACCAAGACGAUGAUGUGUAGCUGGACUGAGAGGUUGAACAGCCACAUUGGGACUGAGACACGGCCCAAACUCCUACGGGAGGCAGCAGUAGGGAAUUUUCGGCAAUGGAGGAAACUCUGACCGAGCAACGCCGCGUGAACGAUGAAGUAUUUCGGUAUGUAAAGUUCUUUUAUUGAAGAAGAAAAAGUAGUGGAAAAACUAUAUUGACGUUAUUCAAUGAAUAAGCCCCGGCUAACUAUGUGCCAGCAGCCGCGGUAAGACAUAGGGGGCGAGCGUUAUCCGGAAUUAUUGGGCGUAAAGGGUGCGUAGGCUGUUAGAUAAGUCUAUAAUUUAAUUUCAGUGCUUAACGCUGUCUUGUUAUAGAAACUGUUUUGACUAGAGUGAGAUAGAGGCAAGCGGAAUUCCAUGUGUAGCGGUAAAAUGUGUAAAUAUAUGGAGGAACACCAGAAGCGUAGGCGGCUUGCUGGGUCUUUACUGACGCUGAGGCACGAAAGCGUGGGUAGCAAACAGGAUUAGAUACCCUGGUAGUCCACGCCGUAAACGAUGAGUACUAAGUGUCGGGGUAAAACUCGGUACUGAAGUUAACACAUUAAGUACUCCGCCUGAGUAGUACGUACGCAAGUAUGAAACUUAAAGGAAUUGACGGGACUCCGCACAAGCGGUGGAUCAUGUUGUUUAAUUCGAAGAUACACGAAAAAUCUUACCAGGUCUUGACAUACUCUGCAAAGCUAUAGAAAUAUAGUGGAGGUUAUCAGGGAUACAGGUGGUGCAUGGUUGUCGUCAGUUCGUGUCGUGAGAUGUUAGGUUAAGUCCUAAAACGAGCGCAACCCUUGUCGUUAAUUGCCAGCACGUAAUGGUGGGGACUUUAGCGAGACUGCCAAUUAAACAUUGGAGGAAGGUGAGGAUUACGUCAAAUCAUCAUGCCCCUUAUGAUCUGGGCUACAAACGUGAUACAAUGGCUGUGACAAAGAGUAGCUGAAACGCGAGUUUUUAGCCAAUCUCAAAAAAGCAGUCUCAGUUCGGAUUGAAGUCUGUAACUCGACUUCAUGAAGUUGGAAUCGCUAGUAAUCGCGAAUCAGCAUGUCGCGGUGAAUACGUUCUCGGGGUUUGUACACACCGCCCGUCA